CCCCCGCCUCAGCCCCCGGCCCCCGGCCCCCAGCCCAGCUCCGGAGAGCCAGAGACCAGCAGAUCCAGAACACCCAGAACAGCCUCUUCUAUUUCUGCUCUGCCUAGCGCGGGUACUGCGCCAGCUAAAAAUACCCGAACCCGCGUGGUGGCUCAUCUGGAAAGAUGACUGCUCUUUCACGUGAAGACAGAAAUGCCACCAAUGUAGCCGCGUCCCCCAGCGACUGUGAGACGAACCCUAUUUUGCGGGAGCUAAAAGGCAAGGAAGGACAGAAGGCAUCUCAGAACCAACGAGAUCCCAGCACAUCGCGCACAAAAUAACAAGUCUGGCAGGGAAAGCCCCGAAGAAAGAAACCUACGAGCGGACACAGAAACGUCGAGGAGACGCCCUGCCAGGGGCCCCCCACGCGGGAACGGUCUCCGUGCACAGGCAAAGACCCGCGUCGCCGCUCAGGACACAGAUCAACUCUCAGGAGACCGGUGAGCGUGUGGCCGCGUGGACACGUGCCUCUCCCGUGACCCAGCAGCGCCACCUGCGCGCGGACGUUCACGGCAGCAAGACGGCAACGGCUCCUGUCCCCCGAAGCCACCCACGCGCUGGCCACUGGUGGCCGCGUCCACGGCCUAGGACUAGGAGGACCGACACCUGGCACCACGUGGACAGGCCACGCAAUACGGUGAGUGAGAAGAAAGGACUGCGUUCUGAACGACGCCACUUAAAAGACUGUGCAAAAGGCAAAUCGACAAGGACAGGAAGCCGGUGGGGAGGCCGCAGGGGGCCAGGGCUGGGGCGGGAGGACCCGGAGACAUUUGAGGGGAGGCAGACUGAUCUGAUCUUGACCGUGACCCUGGUUCUCGACUGAUUACAGCCCCCAGAGUCAUCGCCUGUACGCUUGGAAUCGGUACACUUCACUGUGUGCAAACACUUGGAAUAACCACCCAACAAGGGGAGGGAAAGGUGGGCCUGACCCGGGAGCACAGACGAGUCUCACCCGAAUUCUGCGGAGAGAAGCAGACGCAAGGACGCAGGGCACGACCGUGCCCACCUGAUGUUCUAGGACGGGCAAACGCACCCCGAGUGACAGAGAGCAGAUCCAGGGCUGCCUGGGGCGGGCGGGUGACGGCAGCGUCCUCUGUCUGACCGUGCUCUGGUGCCACAGCCCAAGACUCAAGCGGGUGCACCUCACGCCCCUUCUGGGGAGGCACGGACGUCAAACCUCAGUCACUCAGACGUAAGAGGGCACCUCAGGGUCUCCCGGGGUUUGGGGGCCACACGUGACACUGCACAGAAGUGCCCUGUCCCUGUACCUGAGACAGGAGAAGCUGAGGGCCAGGGAGCCGGGGAGGCCACCCCCGGAACCUCAGAACAGCCCGGGGCCAGCUCCCUGGGCACGUGUGGGACAGGCACGCUGGGGCCCGCGCCUCCCUCGCGUGCCCUGACUGCUGCCUCCAAAGGGAGGGACCCCCCCCGACCAGGCCAGGGACAAAAUGCACCCACUGCUCCCGGGGCCCUCCCAGCAGGUGGGCGGGGAUCCAACAGCGUAGACAGCCUGGGCCCAGGUCAGGAGGUGGUGAGGGGUGCUUAGGAUUGGGAUUCGCACGACAGACCUAGCCUUCCCCGUUCCCCGCGGGACCCCCAAGGGGCAGCUGGGCUGCAGGGGGGAGCAGCCCCCCAACAGGCUAGGGGUCUGCCUGUCUGCUGCCAUGCUGGGAGCGAGGGGCUGCCCUAGUC
Felis catus (domestic cat) is the source of this 1731-nucleotide long non-coding RNA. RefSeq lists it as uncharacterized. The transcript has 3 exons. The record is from RefSeq and is a predicted model, not a curated record. NCBI's taxonomy places the organism in Eukaryota, Metazoa, Chordata, Mammalia, Carnivora, Felidae.